Molecule: long non-coding RNA, 813 nt
Organism: Haliotis rufescens (red abalone)
Lineage: Eukaryota; Metazoa; Mollusca; Gastropoda; Lepetellida; Haliotidae
Exons: 3
Source: RefSeq, a predicted model, not a curated record
CAUGUUUCCAAGGGAAGCUACUCUUGUUAUAGAGGGCGCUGUUACUCACGCGCGUCUUUUCAAGCAGACGACGAAAGGAUGAUGCGUGGAGGGCUGAGGGAAAACCUAUUUUGCGAAAAUCAGAUGUUUAGCCAUUGCCUAUUGGCAAACAUGGAUGAGCUGAAUGAACUCUUAGCAGCUUUUCCAAAAUCGAGCAACUGAGAGAGAACUGAAGCUGAGGAGGAAGCCUGCAGCUGGGCUCUUACAAGCCACUGACAAGUACAUGGUGACCUGUGUAAAAGAAUGGCUUCGAGUUCCAGGAGCAAGGCUUAGAAAUGGCAUAAGGAAAACGCGUACUGAAAAACAGAGAUGUAGAUAGAGAAUCUGCAAACGAAAGUGCUGAAUUGCAACGGAACAAAGAAAUCCAAAAUGUUGGUGUUGACAACAUAUUUUUCACAGGGUUAUGACCCUUGUUUUUGAACUUGGUACAUAUUCUGCCAGGUUCUCUUGGACACUACUGAAGUUAAUAAAUGAAACUUUCCGUGCUUACCUAAGGUACAAACUCCAGAAGAUGGUUAUAACUUAUAAGAACUAAUUUUGUAUGGAGUUAUGGCCUUUGCUUCAUGCUAUUUUAGGGGGGGGGGGGGGAGUUUGUCUUGCAAACGAAUUUGAAGCCACAUAAAUGAAAUUUUGCAGGCCAAUAGGAGGGGUAUAUGUUUAGACUGUGUUUUAAAACAGGUUUUGAGAAUAUAUGUUUCACAUCCGCCUUGUUGCAGGUAGUAACACUGUUUUCUUGUAAAUAAUAAUUAAUUAAUAAUAAAGUUUAUUAUUCUA